Molecule: transfer RNA, 73 nt
Filed under: Camelus ferus (Wild Bactrian camel)
Lineage: Eukaryota; Metazoa; Chordata; Mammalia; Artiodactyla; Camelidae
Rfam family: tRNA
About the family: Transfer RNA (tRNA) molecules are approximately 80 nucleotides in length. Their secondary structure includes four short double-helical elements and three loops (D, anti-codon, and T loops).
Source: Rfam by way of RNAcentral
GAGGGUAUAGCUCAGUGGUAAGAGGGUGUGCCUAGCAUGAGUGAGGUCCUGGGUUCAAUCCCCAGUAUCUCCA